AUGCUUGUAUUAGUCAAUGCAUAUUAUUCAGGCUAUCCACUGUUGCUCUCAGAUUUUAAUUUGGCUCAACCACUGAUUGUCAGGUGUGAACCCUUUCCUGUGGAGAGACCACUGUUUCACAGAACCCCUGUUUGUUUUUCUACUAAGGAGAAAGGCCUUAACAUGGCGUUGGUCUUCAGCUUGUCCACUCUCAUGUUUCUCCUCAUCACUGGGAUGGAGACAUCCAAAAGUCUAAGUCAGGGCCCAGAGUUGAAGCAGGUCGUCCAGGUGGACUCUGGGAAGGAUGCAGUCCUAGAGUGCUCUGUGAACAUCAGUGAGAAAUCCACUGGUAAUGUAAACAUAGAGAAGGUCGUGUGGUGGAGGCUGGACCAGAAUGGUCUUCACAAAGGUGGACCUGUGUUCAAAUGCAACAUAUUCAAUCAACAAUCCUCCAAUCCCAGGUUGCAGCUGAACCCAAAAUAUCAGCUUCCCAUGCCACCUGCCAAUGAGAAAGACAAAGUUGUGUCCCUGUUGGUCAAAGAAACCCAGCCUGAAGACGAGGGUCCGUAUGAGUGUGUGGUGAACACUGACAGUGGAAUCACACAUUGUAACUUCAUGCUGAAGGUCACAGUGUUACAGUACGAGCCCAGCACUGAAAAGGAGAUUCCAAAGAACAGUUACAUGAGUGUGGCUGCUGUAUGUGUGGUAGUAGGCUCUCUUGCCAUUGGACUGCUGCUUCUCAAGCUGUUUCAAGCCAGAAGACUCAGACAAGAGCCUCAGGAUACAGCAGUCCCAGCAGAGCACAACCCCAGCACCAGGACAGGACCGUUUCCGUAGCGACAGAUGUAUUAUCAGGGGUGCCAUGGGCUCUCUUCUCUGUCGAUGUCAUGUCUGCUCUGUCUCUCACGUCACAUCGCUAACUGAAUGUGAAUGCUUUGCCUGGAGGAGGGAGCAAUCUGGCUCAACACUAUUCUGUUCCCCCUCUGCAGGAGAAAUGGAGUGCACGCAUUGUCCUGCUACCAAGCUAAUUGUUAGCAGCAUUGUCUGUAGUUGUUAAUCACACCAGACUAUUCUUUCAUAAUUGUUUUAUAUAUUGUAACUAAAACCUGAUAUGAAACAAAUGCACAUAUUUAGUGGACAUUGAUUUGACAGUGAAGACACUAGUGUGAUACAGUAGCAGUGUGUGAAAUUGAUCUUGACAGAACACCUUUACUUUGUGCAUCACAAUUUGAAGAAGUCAUUUAUUCAGAAGCCAAUAUUGUGUUUUAGUUCAUUUGAGAGUUGCUUUAGUUGACAAAUGCCAUGUUUUUUAUUGUUACAAAGUGGGAUUCAAAUUUAUUUAAUUGUCAUUUUUUUGUAAACAAUCUACAUAAAAUACUCUGUCAAAGUGGAAGAAAAAAUAACACAAAAAUACUGUAGCGACCCAAACAGCUGUGUUAUGUAUUAUGCUGUUGGUUUUGUUGUACUUACCAGUACGCAGUGUUCGCGGGGUCCGACAUGCCAGUCAAUCUGCUAUCUGCCAACCACUGCCUGGAAUGUUCUUGUGCCGGGCAUCCUGGUGGCUGGUGGAGCAGCAGGGGGGUGGAGCAUCGCAGGUUUAAGGCCAUGUUUAGCCAUUGUUCUCUCUCUUACUUCUGGUCUUCACAAGAGAUGUUCACGGUUGUUCAUAUGGAUAUCCUUAAUUUAUUUGGCGUGGGCUAUGGCCGAACAGUAGCCUGUGUGGAGUUGGGUUAAUAAACCGUGAAUUCGUCAACUCAACCCUCUGUCUGGACAAUUGUAUCUUUAUGAUCUAGCCAGGUCAUUACAAUACCUUUAAGUAUUCAAACCCCUGAGUCGAUACAUAGUAGAAACACCAGCUGUGGGUCUUCCUGGGUAAGUAAGAGCUUUGUACACCUGUAUUGUGCAAUAUUAUUUCCUUAUUAUUUUCAUAAUUUUUCAGGUUUUUGGGAUCUUGGCUAAACAGCAAUUUUCAAGUCUUGCCAUAGAUUUUCAAGCAGAUUUAAGUACAAAACUGUAACUUGGCCAGUCAGGAACGUUCACUGUCUUCUAGGUAAGCUACUCCAGUGUAGAUUUGGCCUUGUGUUUUAGGUUAUUGUCCUGCUGAAAGGUGAAUUCCUUGACCAGUGUCUGGUGUAAAGCAGACAGGUUUUCCUCCAGGAUUGUACCUGUGCCGAGCUCCAUCCCGUUUCUUUUUAUCCAGUAUUUGCCGACGUCAAGCCUACCCGUACCAUAUUUCAUAUUUUCGCUGUCAAUUAGGUUAUUAUUUUGGAAUCACUUCAUCGUUGUCGAUCCAUCCUCAGUUUUCUCCCAUCACAGCCAUUGAACUCGGUAGCUGUAUUAUAAAAACACCAAUGGGCUGAUGGUAUUUGUAUUUAAUAAAGAUUGCCAAGGCAGCAGCUGCUCUUCCUGGGGUCCAGGAACAUUAAGGCAGUUAUAUACCAUUUUAAAAUAUUACAUGACAUUACAUUUCAUAACACUUUUCACAACACAUUAAGUGUGUUCCCUCAGGCCACUACUCUACUAUCACAUAUCUACAAUACAAAAUCUAUGUGUACUUGUGUGCAGAGUGCGUGUCUUAUCAUGUGUACAGUAUGUGUGUCUGUGCCUGUGUAUCUUCACACUCCACUGUUCCAUCAGGUGUAUUUUUAUCUGAUUUCUACUGCUUGCAUCAGUUACCGGAUGUGGAAUAGAGUUCCAUGUAGUCAUGGCUCCAUGAAGUACUGUGCGGCUCCCAUAGUCUGUUCUGGAUUGUAAAAAGACCCUUGGUGGCAUGUCUUGUGGGGUAUGCAUGGGUGUCCGAGCUGUGUCUCAGUACUUUAAACAGACACCUCGGUGCAUUCAGCAUGUCAACACUUCUUACUGAAACAAGCACAACAAAUCUCUCCUCCACUUUGUGCCACGAGAGAUUUACAUGCAUAUUGUUGUGUCUUUACUAUGAAUUAUAUGAUAUGACAUGCUAUUUUAUCAAAUUAAUUCUCUAAUUAAUAUUACCUGAUUACCUGUGUACUGUUAGACAGGUAACUCUUUAUCCACAAUAUAGCAAGUGUAAAGCCAGCAGCUGACUAUGAUCGAUAAUGUCAAAAGCCGUACUGAAGUCUAGCAAAACAGCUCCCACAAUCUUUUUAUCAUCAAUUUCAGUCAGCCAAUCGUCAGUCAUUUGUGCAAGUGCCGUGCAUGUUGAAUGCUCUUCCCUAUAAGCAUGCUGAAAGUCUUUUGUCAAUUUGUUAACUGUAAAACAGCAUUGUAUCUGGUCAAAAACACAUGUUUCUAAAAGUUUAUUAAGGGUUGUGUUAGCAGUUGAUGUUAUUCUUUAUUAACACAGACCCCAAGUAAAUCAGGGGGAGGAAAAUAGGUUUAUUCGAACAGAACAAAUCAUACGGGGAGGUAGAUGGUCAUUCUCCCCUGUCCUCAGUGAUGCUCUCCCAGUGAUUCUUCCCUGUCCUCAGUGAUGCUCUCCCAGUGAUUCUCCCCUGUCCUCAGUGAUGCUCUCCCAGUGAUUCUCCCCUGUCCUCAGUGAUGCUCUCCCAGUGAUUCUCCCCUGUCCUCAGUGAUGCUCUCCCAGUGAUUCUCCCCUGUCCUCAGUGAUGCUCUCCCAGUGAUUCUCCCCUGUCCUCAGUGAUGCUCUCCCAGUGAUUCUCCCCUGUCCUCAGUGAUGCUCUCCCAGUGAUUCUCCCCUGUCCUCAGUGAUUCUCUCCCAGUGAUUCUCCCCUGUCCUCAGUGAUGCUCUCCCAGUGAUUCUCCCCUGUCCUCAGUGAUGCUCUCCCAGUGAUUCUCCCCUGUCCUCAGUGAUGCUCUCCCAGUGAUUCUCCCCUGUCCUCAGUGAUGCUCUCCCAGUGAUUCUCCCCUGUCCUCAGUGAUGCUCUCCCAGUGAUUCCCCCUGUCCUCAGUGAUGCUCUCCCAGUGAUUCUCCCCUGUCCUCAGUGAUGCUCUCCCAGUGAUUCUCCCCUGUCCUCAGUGAUGCUCUCCCAGUGAUUCUCUCCUGUGGUUCUCCACAGAACAAAGGGACAGGGUGUAGUUUAUAACUCAGCCCUAUCCUGUGGUUGACCAAUUAGAAUUCCUUGCAAUAAAACUGUAUCCUAUUUCAGGUUGGACCAAUGGGAACGUGCCACACCGUAAGUUCAGGACUGACAUUCCUAACAGAUGUUGAACUGAAAACCAACUAUUUCCAUAGAUAAUUCCCUAUUACAGAAAAACCACUAUUUCCAUUGAUCGUUGUUACUCUAUUGACUUCUCGUCCUCUGUCUCUGCAUUGUGUAUUUAUCUUCGAAAUAUUCUUAUUGUUGGUAACAGGCUGAUUGGUCAGCUAUUUGAGCGGUAAAGAGGGCUUUACUAUUCUUGAGUAGGGGAAUUACUUUUGCUUCCCUCCAGACCUGAGGGCACACACUUUCUAGUAAGCUUAGAUUGAAGAUAUGACAAAUAGGAGUGGCAAUAUGGUCUGCUAUUAUUUUCAGUCAUUUUCCAUCCAAGUUGUCAGACCCCCGUGGCUUGUCACUGUUGAUGGUGACAUCCCUAAGCAGUUCCCUCCCUAUCCUCCAGUUCAGAAGGACGACUGUAUCUUUGGUGUGUCUGGGCCAGUAAAGACUGCUGAGGGGACCAUGUCUUUGAUGUGUUUGAUACCAUUCCAUUUACUCCAUUCCAGACAUUACUAUGAGUCAUCCUCCCCUCAUCAGCCUCCACUGGUCUGGGUGGUUUAAUACAUCAUCCACAGCAUUUAUUAACUUGACCAUGCUUAACGAGAUAUUAAACGUCUGAUUUGUUAUUGUUAGCCAUCUACCAAUCACUGCCCUUUAUGAGGCUUUAGAAACCCUCGUGGUCGUUCUAGUUGAAUCUCUGCUUGAAACUCCCUACUUGACUGAGGGAUCUUACAGAUAUGGACAGAGGAAAGGGUAGUCAUUCAAACAUGAUGUCAACCAGUGGAGACCCGUCAUUCAGGGCAGGUGGGGCAGGGCCCACACUUUUUUUGGGG
RNAcentral lists this long non-coding RNA (4945 nucleotides) under Oncorhynchus mykiss (rainbow trout). RNAcentral describes it as "lncRNA (ENSOMYG00000075807.1)". The record is from RNAcentral. Lineage: Eukaryota; Metazoa; Chordata; Actinopteri; Salmoniformes; Salmonidae.